CCGAAAGGCAGGAGUGCCUGCAAGGGAGCGCGGAGACAGGUGGUGCAUGGCUGUCGUCAGCUCGUGUCGUGAGAUGUUGGGUUAAGUCCCGCAACGAGCGCAACCCUCACCUCUUGUUGCCAUCAGGUCAUGCUGGGCACUCUAGAGGAACUGCCCCGGUCAACGGGGAGGAAGGCGGGGAUGACGUCAAGUCAUCAUGCCCCUUACGUCCUGGGCUACACACGUGCUACAAUGGCCGGUACAAAGGGAUGCCACACCGCGAGGUAGAGCUAAACCCAAAAAGCCGGUCUAAGUUCGGAUUGGAGUCUGCAACUCGACUCCAUGAAGGAGGAAUCGCUAGUAAUCGCGUAUCAGCACGACGCGGUGAAUACGUUCCCGGGCCUUGUACACGCCGCCCGUCACACCACGAAAGGCAG
Molecule: ribosomal RNA, 416 nt
Filed under: uncultured bacterium
Lineage: Bacteria
Description: bacterial SSU rRNA
Rfam family: Bacterial small subunit ribosomal RNA
Source: RNAcentral